AUACGUAGGGAGCGAGCGUUAUCCGGAAUUACUGGGCGUAAAGGGCGUGUAGGCGGUCUUGCAAGUCAGAAGUGAAAUUCCUGAGCUCAACUCGGGCGCUGCUUCUGAAACUGCAGGACUUGAGUGCUGGAGGGGAUAGCGGAAUUCCUAGUGGAGCGGUAAAAUGCGCAGAUAUUAGGAAGAACACCGGUGGCGAAGGCGGCUAUCUGGACAGUAACGGACGCUGAGGCGCCAAAGCGGGGGGAGAAAAAAGGAAUAGAUACCCUGGGAGUCCACGCCGUAAACGAUGAAUACUAGGUGUAGGGGGUAUCGACUCCCUCUGUGCCGCAGUUAACACAAUAAGUAUUCCGCCUGGGGAGUACGGCCGCAAGGUUGAAACUCAAAGGAAUUGACGGGG
RNAcentral lists this ribosomal RNA (397 nucleotides) under uncultured bacterium. RNAcentral's name for it is "partial 16S ribosomal RNA". It matches the Rfam family "Bacterial small subunit ribosomal RNA", at positions 523 to 918 of the family's 1533-position model. The record is from RNAcentral.